Molecule: microRNA precursor, 105 nt
Filed under: Canis lupus familiaris (dog)
Lineage: Eukaryota; Metazoa; Chordata; Mammalia; Carnivora; Canidae
Also listed under: 2 other names
Description: mir-8834 microRNA precursor family
Rfam family: mir-8834 microRNA precursor family
Source: Rfam by way of RNAcentral
AGGAGGAACAACCCCAGUGGCGGGGCCAGCUCUGGAGCCCUGGAGUCAGCUCCCGCAGUAACUCCGGAGCUCUCCGUCUGCAGGGCCUGGAGGCUCCGGGGCGGG